RNAcentral lists this ribosomal RNA (505 nucleotides) under uncultured bacterium. RNAcentral describes it as "partial 16S ribosomal RNA". It matches the Rfam family "Bacterial small subunit ribosomal RNA", at positions 28 to 507 of the family's 1533-position model. The record is from RNAcentral.
GACGAACGCUGGCGGCGUGCCUAAUACAUGCAAGUCGAACGCACAGUUUAUACCGUAGCUUGCUACACCAUAAACUGUGAGUUGCGAACGGGUGAGUAACGCGUAGGUAACCUGCCUGGUAGCGGGGGAUAACUAUUGGAAACGAUAGCUAAUACCGCAUAAUAUUAAUUAUUGCAUGAUAAUUGAUUGAAAGAUGCAAUUGCAUCACUACCAGAUGGACCUGCGUUGUAUUAGCUAGUAGGUGAGGUAACGGCUCACCUAGGCGACGAUACAUAGCCGACCUGCGAGGGUGAUCGGCCACCCUGGGACUGAGACACGGCCCAGACUCCUACGGGAGGCAGCCGUAGGGAAUCUUCGGCAAUGGACGAAAGUCUGACCGAGCAACGCCGCGUGAGUGAAGAAGGUUUUCGGAUCGUAAAGCUCUGUUGUAAGAGAAGAACGGGUGUGAGAGUGGAAAGUUCACACUGUGACGGUAUCUGACCAGAAAGAGACGGCUAACUACGUG